This 267-nucleotide ribosomal RNA is filed under the name uncultured bacterium. RNAcentral describes it as "partial 16S ribosomal RNA". It matches the Rfam family "Bacterial small subunit ribosomal RNA", at positions 1234 to 1500 of the family's 1533-position model. The record is from RNAcentral.
CGGUCAACAAAGAGAGGCGAAACCGCGAGGUGGAGCAAAUCUCAAAAAGCCGUCCCAGUUCGGAUUGCAGGCUGCAACCCGCCUGCAUGAAGUUGGAAUCGCUAGUAAUCGCGGAUCAGCAUGCCGCGGUGAAUACGUUCCCGGGCCUUGUACACACCGCCCGUCACACCAUGAGAGUCGGGAACACCCGAAGUCCGUAGCCUAACCGCAAGGGGGGCGCGGCCGAAGGUGGGUUCGAUAAUUGGGGUGAAGUCGUAACAAGGUAUC